GUUUGAAUUAAGUUCUAAUAGUUUCCUGCAUGCAUCCCUCCAAAUAAAAAUUGAUUUGUUACAUUUAAUUGAUAUUAUAUAAUAUGCUAAGAAGCUAAGAGCAGUUUUCUCCAACAAAAACAUACUGAACAGGCUUUACAGGUGGCAGGGCAUUUAUUUCUUAUUAGGUACGGCACCACAAUGAUCCUACAGUAUGCAUCUCCCAAUGCGUCAAGCUUCCUACAUCAAAUGAUAGUCCAUCACACCGUAGUGCACACUAUAUACACAUAUAAGCAAACCACAAGCAAAUUCCACGAAAACACAUGGUCAGUAUGCUACAAUAAGACUGCCAUAUUGGUUUCCCCUAUACCGUUGAACAAGACAUGAGGUUAACAAGUACUUCUAAACUAUUAUCUACGGUGUUUGAACCCUGCCAGAAGCCAAUAUUCUUCAAAGCAAAUUGCGGCUCACUGCAUAUUCACAGCUGUCAAUAACCACUCCCCAUGUACUCCUAACAAAUCACAAUGAUACACUAGUGUAUAUCUGUUUGAUAUUCACAAAGCUCCACAGCUUUAAAUUGUAGAGUCAAAUGGCUGAACUUCUCUAAUGUCACAGUUUUAACUUAACACUGAGGAGGAGAGCCUGGCUCAGAAUCACAAACAGAUGCAAAUGACAUUGUGUCUUCCUUUGUUAUGGCCACAAAGUUCAGUGGUGCAGUAGACAACCUUCUCAUUUCCUUGAAGUAUCCAUUUUGACGUCCAGAAUAAGAUCUAGGUGUGAGGAGUUCCGGAGUUGCACCACCAACUGAGUUCCGACGAGGUGUGGGUGUCAUGGAGCCAUUUCCAUUUGAACUAUAACCAUUUGGUUUCCUAAAGCUGUUUGCUUUUCGUGGACUGGGUUUAGAACCAUACAUGGCUUCCUUCUCUGUUAGCAGCAAAUCUUGGAGUUUCUUCUGCUCCCUGCAUCUCUUUUUCUCCUCUUCUCUCUGUUGUCUGGCCAGUUUGUAAUCCUGCAAUAUUGACACUAAUCUUACCCCAUCAUAGAGAAAUGACGUCUUCUUUUCAUCUUCCCAAGCAAGAGUUUUAUUUAUCAGAUUGUUGACCAUUGCUGGAAUUUUGCUAACAGUAACUCGAGCUCGUUCUGCACAUUUAAGGUUAAUGUGUGCACCCCUCCCAGCAUUGUACCGGUUGCUAUCUUGAUUAUACUCUUCAAGCCAUUUUUCCUCCUCACAAGCCAAAAGCCACCGAUCAGUCCUAUCCAUAACUUCUUUUCGGUUCAUAGCUUCCUCUUUAGCUUUGACUAUCUGGGCUUCAAUGCUUGCUAAAAGUUCAGAAGGAUCCACUAAACCAGAAUCUAUUAAUGCAAUGGAUUUCUCAGUAGCAGUACUUGUAUCAGGUUCAAUAUGAGUCAUUUUGCAUAUCUCCUCCAAUUCUGAUCUCCUUUUCAUGACAAGUUCUUUCAUUCUACUCGCUUUCAAUUUAGUAAGCCUCUCCACUUCUGCUGAUGCCUGUUCAAUCAUCUCUGUUGAGAGAACACCUGAUUCAAUGACCUCAGAUUCAGAUGAUCCAAGAAUAGAAGUAAUUCUCGAGAAGGUAUUUUUCUCUUCUUUUGGUGAGUCCAUCAAAUUCCAAAGUUCAAAUAAUGAUGCCACAAUAUCUUUCAGCUUCUGGAUUCGAGCUUUUCUUUCUAACUUCAACUUGAUAAUGGCUUGUUCUAGACCUUCCAGAGUGCUAUUGCUUAUAUUAGUGGAUUGUUCUUGGUUUGCUCCAUGCAAACUUGGAUGCACAUCACUAACAGUCUUGCCAAAAUCCAACCCAAGCACACCACACAGAGAAUGCACCUCAUUCACAUAGUCAAAGACCUUAUGGAGACGAUCAGACUUCUCCUUUUGAAGGGUGCGAAGAUGUGUUUGAUAUUCAUUAAGCUUUCUUAGCGAUAAAUCUUGCUCAUCUAGAGUUAAAGAACUCAUCAUAGAAUUGUUGAGAUUGUUGUAUCCAGAAAUUUCCCCACUGAUCUUUUCAAUUUGUGCCUUUAUAUCUGCAAAUUGCUUCAUCCGUUCCUCUUUCUUUGUCCUCAGAUCUUCCACCAUUGGAGUAACAGAUGCAAGUUUCUCUUUCAAUGAUGGCAACUUCUUCUCUGUCUGAGUCACUAAGUGAACAUUAAGUUCCCCAAGGGCAGCCAUGAGUGUUGCAAGUUCAGCUUCCUUGGCUGCGACGAAUUGAUUAAGGCGUGCUUUGGCGUUGGCAGCUUCCUCAACCUUUCUCCGAUAAACUUCCAAGCAUUCUCUCUCCAACUCCAACAGCAUGCGGUCCUUAUCUGCUUCACUCUCACCAAUGUCAUUCCAAAUUUGCUGAAGCUCUCUGAGUAAAGCAUUGCAGCUAGUGCUUGUACGCUCACUGAUAGUAGGACUCCCAAUAGCCAGCAUUUCCACCAGCCCCUCUUUCUCCUUCUCACUUUUAGUGUAUAGACUCCCUUUCUCUAAAAAUUUAAGCAAGAAAUGCAACUACAGCUUCUCUCAAAAACAGAGCUCAAGACUGGAAUAAAAAAAAAACCAAAAAGCAAAAACUAAAACUUAACACUCAAAAAAGACAAGAUAAAGACUAGAAAGAAGAAGAAGAAGGAAAGAAGCAAGUGGGUUUUUGCUAAAAAGUCAAAAAGAAACCAAAGAACUAAGAGGCAUUGCUUGAAACAACCUUAGCUUCCUCAGAUCUGAACCCCAAAUAACACCAACCAUUCCUCUCUCUCUCUCUCUCUCU
RNAcentral lists this unclassified non-coding RNA (2735 nucleotides) under Hevea brasiliensis (rubber tree). The record is from RNAcentral. Lineage: Eukaryota; Viridiplantae; Streptophyta; Magnoliopsida; Malpighiales; Euphorbiaceae.